UAAGCAUAUCAAUAAGCGGAGGAAAAGAAACCAACAGGGAUUGCCCUAGUAACGGCGAGUGAAGCGGCAACAGCUCAAAUUUGAAAUCUGGCGCAAGCCCGAGUUGUAAUUUGUAGAGGAUGCUUCUGGGCAGCGGCCGGUCUAAGUUCCUUGGAACAGGACGUCACAGAGGGUGAGAAUCCCGUAUGUGAUCGGUUGGCACCCGCUACGUAGCUCCUUCGACGAGUCGAGUUGUUUGGGAAUGCAGCUCUAAAUGGGAGGUAAAUGCCUUCUAAAGCUAAAUACCGGCCAGAGACCGAUAGCGCACAAGUAGAGUGAUCGAAAGAUGAAAAGCACUUUGGAAAGAGAGUUAAAAAGCACGUGAAAUUGUUGAAAGGGAAGCGCAUGCAACCAGACUUGUCCGCGGUGUUCCGCCGGUCUUCUGACCGGUCUACUCGCCGCGGGCAGGCCAGCAUCAUCUGGGAGCGCCGGAUAAAGGUAGCGGGAAUGUGGCCCCUCGGGGUGUUAUAGCUCGCUACACAAUACGGCGCCUCCCGGGUGAGGUCCGCGCUUCGGCUAGGAUGCUGGCGUAAUGGUUGUAUGCGGCCCGUCUUGAAACACGGACCAAGGAGUCUACCAUCUAUGCGAGUGUUCGGGUGUCAAACCCCUACGCGCAAUGAAAGUGAACGGAGGUGGGAACCGCAAGGUGCACCAUCGACCGAUCCUGAUGUCUUCGGAUGGAUUUGAGUAAGAGCAUAGCUGGUGGGACCCGAAAGAUGGUGAACUAUGCCUGAAUAGGGUGAAGCCAGAGGAAACUCUGGUGGAGGCUCGCAGCGGUUCUGACGUGCAAAUCGAUCGUCAAAUUUGGGUAUAGGGGCGAAAGACUAAUCGAACCAUCUAGUAGCUGGUUCC
Molecule: ribosomal RNA, 891 nt
Filed under: Neocatenulostroma germanicum
Lineage: Eukaryota; Fungi; Ascomycota; Dothideomycetes; Mycosphaerellales; Teratosphaeriaceae
Description: LSU rRNA
Rfam family: Eukaryotic large subunit ribosomal RNA
Source: RNAcentral